GGAGAGAUGGCCGAGUCCGGUUGAAGGCGCUCGCCUCGAAAGCGAGUAGGCAUCUACGUGCCUCGUGGGUUCGAAUCCCACUCUCUCCGCCA
This 92-nucleotide transfer RNA is filed under the name Bacillota bacterium. RNAcentral describes it as "Firmicutes bacterium (anaerobic digester metagenome) tRNA-Ser". It matches the Rfam family "tRNA". From Rfam's summary of the family: Transfer RNA (tRNA) molecules are approximately 80 nucleotides in length. Their secondary structure includes four short double-helical elements and three loops (D, anti-codon, and T loops). The record is from RNAcentral. Lineage: Bacteria; Bacillati; Bacillota.